UGUAGGAGCGAGCCUGCUCGCGAUGGCGUCGGCACAUUCAACAUAAAUGGCGCCUGAUACACCGCUAUCGCGAGCAGGCUCGCUCCUACA
This 90-nucleotide unclassified non-coding RNA is filed under the name Pseudomonas jessenii. The record is from RNAcentral. Lineage: Bacteria; Pseudomonadati; Pseudomonadota; Gammaproteobacteria; Pseudomonadales; Pseudomonadaceae.